UUACUUAUUUUAGAAAUUGUGUGAUACAGAUUUAACUUAUAAUACUAUUUCUAGCCCCAAAUUGUUUAAGUGAAUUUGAUAAACUAGAUUAUUAUGUAUAACCAUUUCUUUCAGUUAAUGGUACUGGAGCAGAUGAUCAUGUAUUAAUAAAGUUGCCCAUGACAAAAUCCUGGCCCUUCCGACCCCCUAAGCCAGAAUUCUUUCUGUCAUUGUUUCAGGCUUCAAAAUGGUGAGAAGAUAAUGAGAAAAGGAAAGAAUCUAUGGAUAAGAAGUAAGGAGAAAAUCGUUGACAAUUGUCAAAAUCUUGCCUCAUUACUUCUCCAGGAAUGAUGUCUAUCCUUUUCUUCAAACACAUUCUGUAUUCUAGGAAUUCUGAAUUAUUUUGGAUUAGCCAAACUCACUAUAAACUCUACUGUAAAGAAGGCAUUCCAAGAGAAGGAACAACGUGAAAAGAAACAAACUCAUGAAGGCCUGAGGCAUGAGCAUGUGUUGAGCAUUUGGGAAAGAACAAAGUCAUGUUAUAAGACCCUAUAAUGCUUGGCAAAAGAUAGUGGCAAGAAAGCUGGGGAAAAAAAGCUGGGAUGACAUGAUAAAGAAUUUUAUAUUUCAG
RNAcentral lists this long non-coding RNA (610 nucleotides) under Homo sapiens (human). Its description in RNAcentral is "HSALNT0108043". Lineage: Eukaryota; Metazoa; Chordata; Mammalia; Primates; Hominidae. The record is from RNAcentral.